RNAcentral lists this unclassified non-coding RNA (212 nucleotides) under soil metagenome. Its description in RNAcentral is "partial contains 5.8S ribosomal RNA, internal transcribed spacer 2, and large subunit ribosomal RNA". The record is from RNAcentral.
AACAUCGCGCACCUGCGGGAACCUGCGGAGGGAUCAUUACCGAGUGUGGUCCCUUAAUAAGGGGCGACUCCCGUCCUUUGCAGGGCCUUUAGGGGCUUUUUGACUUUGCUUCGGCGGGCUUGUCCCGCCGGAACACCCUCAAGAAAAUCUCGAAAAAAAAACCUUUGUCUGAAUUGCUUGCGAAUAAAAACAAAACUUUCAGCAACGGAUCU